RNAcentral lists this ribosomal RNA (296 nucleotides) under Salmonella enterica. RNAcentral describes it as "partial 16S ribosomal RNA". It matches the Rfam family "Bacterial small subunit ribosomal RNA", at positions 1 to 293 of the family's 1533-position model. Lineage: Bacteria; Pseudomonadati; Pseudomonadota; Gammaproteobacteria; Enterobacterales; Enterobacteriaceae. RNAcentral also lists the same sequence under 2 other names. The record is from RNAcentral.
AAAUUGAAGAGUUUGAUCAUGGCUCAGAUUGAACGCUGGCGGCAGGCCUAACACAUGCAAGUCGAACGGUAACAGGAAGCAGCUUGCUGCUUCGCUGACGAGUGGCGGACGGGUGAGUAAUGUCUGGGAAACUGCCUGAUGGAGGGGGAUAACUACUGGAAACGGUGGCUAAUACCGCAUAACGUCGCAAGACCAAAGAGGGGGACCUUCGGGCCUCUUGCCAUCAGAUGUGCCCAGAUGGGAUUAGCUUGUUGGUGAGGUAACGGCUCACCAAGGCGACGAUCCCUAGCUGGUCU